CCUACGGUGGGCAGCAGUGAGGAAUAUUGGUCAAUGGGCGCGAGCCUGAACCAGCCAAGUAGCGUGAAGGAUGACUGCCCUACGGGUUGUAAACUUCUUUUAUAAAGGAAUAAAGUGAGGCACGUGUGCCUUUUUGUAUGUACUUUAUGAAUAAGGAUCGGCUAACUCCGUGCCAGCAGCCGCGGUAAUACGGAGGAUCCGAGCUUUAUCCGGAUUUAUUGGGUUUAAAGGGAGCGUAGAUGGGUUGUUAAGUCAGUGGUGAAAGUUUGCGGCUCAACCGUAAAAUUGCAAUUGAUACUGGCAGUCUUGAGUACAGUGGAGGUAGGCGGAAUUCCUAGUGUAGCGGUGAAAUGCGUAGAUAUUAGGAGGAACACCGGCGGCGAAGGCGGCCUGCUGGACCGUAACUGACGUUGAGGCUCGAAAGCGUGGGGAGCAAACAGGAUUAGAUACCCUUGUAGUC
RNAcentral lists this ribosomal RNA (460 nucleotides) under uncultured bacterium. Its description in RNAcentral is "partial 16S ribosomal RNA". It matches the Rfam family "Bacterial small subunit ribosomal RNA", at positions 338 to 795 of the family's 1533-position model. The record is from RNAcentral.